ACAUGCAGUCGAACGGGUGGUAGCAAUACCACUAGUGGCGCACGGGUGCGUAACGCGUAACCAACCUACCUGGAUCUGGGGGAUAGCCCGCCGAAAGGCGGAUUAAUACCGCAUAAGACUAUAGAACGGCAUCGUUUAGUAGUUAAAGAUUUAUUGGAUUCAGAUGGGGUUGCGUAGCAUUAGCUAGAUGGCGGGGUAACGGCCCACCAUGGCGACGAUGCUUAGGGGACCUGAGAGGGUGAUCCCCCACACUGGCACUGAGAUACGGGCCAGACUCCUACGGGAGGCAGCAGUAGGGAAUAUUGGGCAAUGGGCGAGAGCCUGACCCAGCCAUGCCGCGUGCCGGAUGARGGCCUUCUGGGUUGWAACGGCUUUUCUCAGGRAAGAAAAAGGGGAUGCGUCCUCAACUGACGGUACCUGAGGAAUAAGCACCGGCUAACUCCGUGCCAGCAGCCGCGGUAAUACGGAGGGUGCAAGCGUUGUCCGGAUUUAUUGGGUUUAAAGGGUGCGUAGGUGGCUUGUUAAGUCCGGGGUGAAAGCCCACAGCUCAACUGUGGAACUGCCCUGGAUACUGGCGGGCUUGAGAGUAGUCGAGGGUGGCRGAAUGACGGUGUAGCGURAAAUGCAUAGAUACCGUCCAGAACCCCAAUUGCGUAGGCGCUGCCUAGGCUACAUCUGACACUGAG
RNAcentral lists this ribosomal RNA (686 nucleotides) under Hymenobacter sp. Its description in RNAcentral is "bacterial SSU rRNA". The record is from RNAcentral. Lineage: Bacteria; Pseudomonadati; Bacteroidota; Cytophagia; Cytophagales; Hymenobacteraceae.